Molecule: ribosomal RNA, 446 nt
Filed under: Staphylococcus aureus
Lineage: Bacteria; Bacillati; Bacillota; Bacilli; Caryophanales; Staphylococcaceae
Also listed under: 38 other names
Description: partial 23S ribosomal RNA
Rfam family: Bacterial large subunit ribosomal RNA
Source: RNAcentral
UGAUAAGGUCCGUGUUCGAAAGGGAAACAGCCCAGACCACCAGCUAAGGUCCCAAAAUAUAUGUUAAGUGGAAAAGGAUGUGGCGUUGCCCAGACAACUAGGAUGUUGGCUUAGAAGCAGCCAUCAUUUAAAGAGUGCGUAAUAGCUCACUAGUCGAGUGACACUGCGCCGAAAAUGUACCGGGGCUAAACAUAUUACCGAAGCUGUGGAUUGUCCUUUGGACAAUGGUAGGAGAGCGUUCUAAGGGCGUUGAAGCAUGAUCGUAAGGACAUGUGGAGCGCUUAGAAGUGAGAAUGCCGGUGUGAGUAGCGAAAGACGGGUGAGAAUCCCGUCCACCGAUUGACUAAGGUUUCCAGAGGAAGGCUCGUCCGCUCUGGGUUAGUCGGGUCCUAAGCUGAGGCCGACAGGCGUAGGCGAUGGAUAACAGGUUGAUAUUCCUGUACCAC